AUUGAACGCUGGCGGCAUGCCUAACACAUGCAAGUCGAACGGUAACAGGCCCUUCGGGCGCUGACGAGUGGCGGACGGGUGAGUAAUGCUUAGGAAUCUGCCUAGUAGUGGGGGAUAACCCGGGGAAACUCGGGCUAAUACCGCAUACGUCCUACGGGAGAAAGCGGGGGACCUUCGGGCCUCGCGACUAUUAGAUGAGCCUAAGUCCGAUUAGCUAGUUGGUAGGGUAACGGCCUACCAAGGCGACGANCGGUAGCUGGUCUGAGAGGACGACCAGCCACACUGGGACUGAGACACGGCCCAGACUCCCUACGGGAGGCAGCAGUGGGGAAUAUUGGACAAUGGGCGCAAGCCUGAUCCAGCGAUGCCGCGUGUGUGAAGAA
This 383-nucleotide ribosomal RNA is filed under the name uncultured bacterium. Its description in RNAcentral is "bacterial SSU rRNA". It matches the Rfam family "Bacterial small subunit ribosomal RNA", at positions 30 to 412 of the family's 1533-position model. The record is from RNAcentral.